Molecule: ribosomal RNA, 401 nt
Filed under: uncultured bacterium
Lineage: Bacteria
Description: bacterial SSU rRNA
Rfam family: Bacterial small subunit ribosomal RNA
Source: RNAcentral
GGGCCCGCACAAGCGGUGGAGCAUGUGGUUUAAUUCGAUGCAACGCGAAGAACCUUACCAGGGCUUGACAUACUACAGAUUCUUUAGAGAUAGAGAAGUGCCUUCGGGAAUGUAGAUACAGGUGGUGCAUGGCUGUCGUCAGCUCGUGUCGUGAGAUGUUGGGUUAAGUCCCGCAACGAGCGCAACCCUUAUUUUUAGUUACCAAUUCGUUGGGUUCUCUAGAAAGACUGCCGGUGACAAACCGGAGGAAGGUGAGGAUGACGUCAAGUCAGCAUGCCCCUUAUGUCCUGGGCUACACACGUGCUACAAUGGUUAAGACAAAGAGUCGCGAGCUUGCAAAAGUCAGCUAAUCUCAUAAACUUAGCCUAAGUUCAGAUUGUAGGCUGCAACUCGCCUGCAUG